Molecule: ribosomal RNA, 250 nt
Filed under: Synpeachia temasek
Lineage: Eukaryota; Metazoa; Cnidaria; Anthozoa; Actiniaria; Haloclavidae
Description: partial large subunit ribosomal RNA
Rfam family: Eukaryotic large subunit ribosomal RNA
Source: RNAcentral
UUCAAGCAUAUUAAUAAGCGGAGGAAAAGAAACUAACAAGGAUUCCCCUAGUAAUGGCGAAUGAAGCGGGAACAGCUCAAAUUUGAAAUCUCCGUCGCUUGCGACGGCGAAUUGUAGUUUCGAGAAGCACUUUCUCGGCGGACCCGGCUUCGUCCAAGUUGCUUGGAAGAGCACGUCAGAGAGGGUGAGAACCCCGUCUGUGGCGUGGCCGGCCGCUCACGAUGUGUUUUCGACGAGUGGGUUGCUUGGG